This is a small nuclear RNA of Trichechus manatus latirostris (Florida manatee), 107 nucleotides long. NCBI's taxonomy places the organism in Eukaryota, Metazoa, Chordata, Mammalia, Sirenia, Trichechidae. The record is from RefSeq and is a predicted model, not a curated record.
GUGCUUGCUUUGGCAGCACAUGUACUAAAAUUGGAAUAAUUCAGAGAAGAUUAGAACGGCCCCUGUGCAAGGAUGGCACGCAGAUUUGUGAAGUGUUCCAUGUUUUU